UGGGAGACUGAUACACAGAUAGGGCUGAAGUACUGCUCUAAAUGUCACAAUGCCUCCCUAGAAUAAAACUGCCUUUUGAUGACCGGAACGAAUUGAGUGAAAUCGUAACGGACAGAUACGGGGCAGAUAACU
Ornithorhynchus anatinus (platypus) is the source of this 132-nucleotide non-coding RNA. The record is from Rfam. Lineage: Eukaryota; Metazoa; Chordata; Mammalia; Monotremata; Ornithorhynchidae.